GACGAACGCUGGCGGCGUGCUUAACACAUGCAAGUCGAACGGAAAGGCCCUGCUUUUGUGGGGUGCCCGAGUGGCGAAAGGGUGAGUAACACGUGAGUAACCUGCCCUUGACUUGGAAUAACUCCAGGAAACUGGGGCUAAUACCGGAUAGGAUCUCCUGAUGCAUGGUGGGGGUUGGCAAGUUUCGGCGGUUGGGGAUGGACUCGCGGCUUAUCAGCUUGUUGGUGGGGUAGUGGCUUACCAAGGCUUUGACGGGUAGCCGGCCUGAGAGGGUGACCGGCCACCAUGGUACUGAGAGACGGCCCAGACUCCUACGGGAGGCAGCAGUGGGGAAUAUUGCACAAUGGGCGGAAGCCUGAUGCAGCAACGCCGCGUGCGGGAUGACGGCCUUCGGGUUGUAAACCGCUUUCGCCUGUGACGAAGCGGGAGUGACGGUAAUGGGUAAAGAAGCACCGGCUAACUACGUG
This 467-nucleotide ribosomal RNA is filed under the name uncultured bacterium. RNAcentral describes it as "partial 16S ribosomal RNA". It matches the Rfam family "Bacterial small subunit ribosomal RNA", at positions 28 to 507 of the family's 1533-position model. The record is from RNAcentral.